RNAcentral lists this unclassified non-coding RNA (769 nucleotides) under Hevea brasiliensis (rubber tree). The record is from RNAcentral. Lineage: Eukaryota; Viridiplantae; Streptophyta; Magnoliopsida; Malpighiales; Euphorbiaceae.
AACAGUUGAGUAUUGUGCUUUUGGUUAUCCACAGCACAUUGUCAUAUGUUCCUUGCGCCCACAGUUUAGAUACUUGGGGGACGUUGCAAUUCCUUUUGCCACUGGGGCAGUUUGGCAGCGAAGGCAGUUAUUUGUUGCUACACCUACUACUGUUGAGUGUGUUUUUGUGGAUGCCGGGGUUGCGCCUAUUGACAUAGAAACGAAACGAAGAAAAGAGGAAAUGAAACUUAAAGAAGCACAGUCAAGAGCUAUUGCUGAACAUGGAGAAUUAGCCUUGAUAACAGUCGACAAUCAACAAUCAAAUCCACAAGAGAGGAUAGCAUUGAGACCCCCAAUGUUACAAGUUGUGCGAUUGGCUUCUUUUCAGCAUGCACCCUCUAUUCCUCCAUUUCUGUCAUUACCUAGACAGUCAAAAGUUGAUGGUGAUGCAUCGAGUGUGCUCAAGGAGAUGGAAGCUCGUAAGGCUAAUGAGGUGGCAGUUGGUGGUGGUGGGGUUGCAGUAGCUGUCACUCGUUUUCCUGCAGAGCAAACACGUCCAGUUGGACCUCUUGUUAUUGUAGGUGUUCGAGAUGGUGUUCUUUGGCUAAUUGAUCGAUAUAUGUGUGCUCAUGCAAUAUCCCUUAGCCAUCCUGGUAUCCGUUGUCGAUGCUUGGCAGCUUAUGGAGAUGCUGUAAGUGCUGUAAAAUGGGCCAGUCGACUUGGCAGAGAACAUCAUGAUGAUUUAGCACAAUUUAUGCUUGGGAUGGGUUAUGCUACUGAAGCACUUCAU